UAACCUGCCUCUUAGCGGGGGGUAACUAUUGGAAACGAUAGCUAAUACCGCAUAAAAGUCGAUAUCGCAUGAUAUUGAUUUGAAAGGUGCAAAUGCAUCACUAAGAGAUGGACCUGCGUUGUAUUAGCUAGUUGGUGAGGUAACGGCUCACCAAGGCGACGAUACAUAGCCGACCUGAGAGGGCGAUCGGCCACACUGGGACUGAGACACGGCCCAG
Molecule: ribosomal RNA, 217 nt
Filed under: uncultured bacterium
Lineage: Bacteria
Description: partial 16S ribosomal RNA
Rfam family: Bacterial small subunit ribosomal RNA
Source: RNAcentral